UACGAAGGGGGCUAGCGUUGCUCGGAAUUACUGGGCGUAAAGGGCGCGUAGGCGGCCUUCUAAGUCGAACGUGAAAUCCCCGGGCUCAACCCGGGAACUGCGUCCGAUACUGGCAGGCUUGAAUCCGGGAGAGGGAUGCGGAAUUCCAGGUGUAGCGGUGAAAUGCGUAGAUAUCUGGAGGAACACCGGUGGCGAAGGCGGCAUCCUGGACCGGCAUUGACGCUGAGGCGCGAAAGCCAGGGGAGCAAACGGG
This 253-nucleotide ribosomal RNA is filed under the name uncultured bacterium. Its description in RNAcentral is "partial 16S ribosomal RNA". It matches the Rfam family "Bacterial small subunit ribosomal RNA", at positions 524 to 776 of the family's 1533-position model. The record is from RNAcentral.